Molecule: long non-coding RNA, 2744 nt
Organism: Ursus thibetanus thibetanus
Lineage: Eukaryota; Metazoa; Chordata; Mammalia; Carnivora; Ursidae
Source: Ensembl
AAGGUGCUUCUUCGGCUGACAUAAGAAAUGAUGAAUUUGGGUUUUUGUUGUUUUGAUCCAGAAGAGAACCGCAGAGGGGCUGGGAUAAGCUCUGUGCUGGACGGGACUCGCCAGAAGUCGCUCUCAGGAAUCCCUAUAUUGACCUAUUCCACAUUUUCAAGUGCUCAGAGGGUGUGGAACCAACCGCUGGCAGACCGUAGGAACCGGGCAGCUAUCUGUGAAUCCAGAGAGAGAAAUGGGGGUCACAAAUCAAGCCUUCAAAGAGCAAAGCCGAUUUCAACGACUGAAGAAAAAAUUCUGGUAACCUGGGAUGUUUUCUUAAAGAACUCCUGACAGAUAGCGAAGUCAUCCAUUGUAAUUACGACUCCAUGCUGGAUGUUAUAAGUUACCGGUAGCAUUGACUAAUUCCACUUACCUACGAACCAAGUUUUAAGUGCAUGUGCCACUCUCCAAGCCAGUGGGUAGCAAAGGACAGCCUGCAGGCCGAAUGCUGGCAGUUUUAUAAAUAAAGUUUUAUUAGGACUCCCUUCAUUAGUUUAUAUAUUCCAAGACUGCUUUUAUGCUACAGUGACAGAGUUGAGUAGUUGAGACAGAGACUGGCCCAGAAAGCCUAAAAUAGAGAAAAAGCUAACCUACUCCUGAUCCAGGUUAAUUAGUCAUUCUCAGCUAAACUGGUUUAUUUCCACAAAGAGGUGAAUUCCAACAAUAUCUUUCUUUUUUGAAAUGCAAACAUGGAAAAAAAUGUAAAAUAAUCAGGUUACUAAGCAAAUGCUCAAUAAUUUCUGAACUAUUUUAAUGUUGUCGGUCAAUGCCUCACGGCUGACAUUGUUCACCCUGGACAAGGGCGGUUCUAGGCAGCCGUGGAGACUACAUAAGCAUCUCCCAAGAACACCAACGAUGAGACCUUCUAACCACAGCGCCCCAGAGGGUGCACGCUAUCACUCUGUCUCGAUAUUAAAGUAAGAUAAGAGGCAGAGAAUACCCUAAAAAGUACUUGUUCUAUUCAGAGUAAGACAUAAUAGAUGUGGUGUUAGACCCACGGUUUGGGAAAAUUACAAGCCCUAAGGAAUAGCUGCUAAUUAAUAGACUGUAAUGUUAUUAAGGAAAGCUAAAGUGUACACUUUUAAAGAAAACAAAACAGAAACGUUAUUUGGAACUACUCAUGUUAUAUUUGGGUUAUAGCUAUAAAAUAUUAAGAAAAGGAAAUACAACAUAAUUCCUUCCUAAAUGUGGCACCAGAAGGUAGAAUUAACACAUAAUAUUUUUAUACUUGAUGAUACAUUUCAAGUAUUUACUUGUUGGAUAUACUUACAAUGUUUGAGGUACAUGAUCUGACCCAUGCUAACCCAAGUGCAUGAAAUAACUAUUUAAAUGCUGUGUGAGUUCUAACAUAGUUGUGUGUUGGACACACAUAUUGAAUAGGCCCAUUGAGUGGGAUUUCACCGAAACUCAACUUUAUUUUUGUCUCCCCAAUGCCCUUUGAAACUGUUCAGUGAAUGAAGCUUUGCCCCUGCACUAGAUAAAAACUCAGCAGGUCUCCUUUCUCUUCAUUCUAAGGUGAUAGACACUGCCAUAGUCACUUUAACAAAAUCCAAUCAGAUUUCGAAUUAAUUAGAGUCCAGGUCGGGACAUUAACCAAUACUUCAGUCUCCGCUCAAACUUCCACAUGUACCUUAUGUCCACAGAGUCCCUACUAAGGACAGGUACUGUGGAUUCUACCUAAAAAAUGAAAAGCUACAAUCAUCGAAACAGCAUGGUGCUAGUGAAAGAACAGGAGCAUACAGAUCAGAACAGAACAGCAAGUCCAGAAAUAGGCCCAAGCAAAGGCAGUCAGCUGAUCUUUGAAAUACAAGCAGCAGGUCAAUGGAAAAAUACAGUCUUUUCAACAAAUGGCACUGGAACAAUUAGAUGUACGUAAACACACACACUCACACGUGCACACACACAUGCAUACACACCCACUCACGCCUACAUGUGUGCACACACACCCACUUGCAUGUGCACACACACACAGACCUAGACACAGACUUUAUAUCUCUUACAAAAAUUGACUCAAGGAUAGACCUAAAUGUGAACUGCAAAACAUAGGAUUUCCGGAAGAAAACGUAGUAGAAAAUCUAGAUGACCCUGAGUUUGGCAUGAAUUUUUAAAUACCACGUCCAAAGCAAAAUCCAUGAAGGAAGAACUUGAUGGUAAGUUGGAAUUUACUAAACCUAAAAACUUUUGCUCUGCAAAAGAUGCUCUUAAGAGAAUGAAAAGAGAAGUCACAGAUUGUGGGGAAAAAAUCUUUGCAAAACACUAUCGAAUAAAGAACUUGUGUUCAAAAUAAAACAAAAAAAUUCUUAAAACUCAACAAUAAGAAAAAAAAAAACAAUCCAAGUAAAAAAAUGGGCAAAAUAUCUGAGCAGACACCUCACCAAAGAAGGCAUAUGGAUAGCAAAUAAGCAUAUGAGAAGAUGUUCAACACUCUUUGUCAUUAGGAAAUUGCAAAUUAAAAUGUUGAGAUAUAACCGUACAUCUAUUAAAAUGGCUAAAAUCCAAAAACACUGACAAUACCAAUUGCUGGCAAGGAUGCAGAACAAUAACACAUUCAUUCAUUGUUGGUGAGAAGGCAAAAGCGUACAGCCACAUGGGAAGAAAGUUUGGCAGUUUCUUAGAAAGUUAAAUAUAGAUUUUUUUUCAUAUACUCUUAGGUAUUUACCCAACUGAUUUAAGAAAUUUAUGUCUACACAAAGAUCUGCACA